Molecule: non-coding RNA, 3256 nt
Organism: Xyrichtys novacula (pearly razorfish)
Lineage: Eukaryota; Metazoa; Chordata; Actinopteri; Labriformes; Labridae
Source: the annotation of a GenBank genome assembly
AUCAGAGCCAAAGACGCACCUCAAAAACCUCUCAGCUGUUUCCCCCCCGCUCCUGCCAACAUGACUCACUUUUACCCCCCCACACCGCCGCCGCCGCCGCCGCCUCACCUCGUUGGCUCUCUAAGAUUUCCUUCGUCGUUUCGUUCGACUCUUUUACAAACUCUCUCUCUCUCCUCUCUUUCUUGCUCAGCUCUUUUUCUCUCGUCUUCCUCUCAUUUCCUCUCUUAUCCCGUUAUCUCUCUCCCGGCUCAUGUUCCCUCUCUCUCUCUCUCUCUCUCUCUCUCUGUGUCUCUCUCUCUCUCUCUCUCUCUACUGUAUUCUGUUUCUCCACAUCAAGCUGAUUGCUUUCUGUCAGCCCGGACCGCUGUAGGGGUCCCAGAGGGGGCCCGGUCCCUCACAUCUAAACAUCUGUCCAUCCCAUUACCGUCGGCGCGGCCGAACCUGAGCCCCCUUUACUCACGCUGACAGCAACACUGGCGAGAAACAGGGAAUGAUAUCCAAGGAAACGCCGGGUUCCCGGGUGUCUCCUCAAAGCUCCUGAUUAUGUGAGCCAGCUGGUCGAGAGACGCCAGGAGUCGCCAGGCGGCGUUUGGCGGGGGUAUAUGAUCGGGCCCCGGAUGUUUUCAGAGUAUGGGUAUGGUUAGGAGCGUGGACGGGGAUCAGCGUGAGGAUGGGAAAGCAUGGCCCUGCGUCGGGCGUCAGUCGCCGUGGUCGUUUGGUUGGAAUGUGACUCAGGAAACUCAUAAUGGGUCUGACUGUAUGUGGAGGAGCGCUGUCUGUUCGCGCUGAGAGGUACAGAGGAAACGGAUACGACCAGGGGUGGUGGAGCUGAUGAUGAUGAUGAUGAUGAUGAUGAUGAUGAUGAGGAUAAAGAUGGGGGGGGUCCUAAAAUGAGCGUAUGAAAGGGAACAGACUUCGUGACUGAGGGGUUCUGGUCUCUGUUUGUGGUCGUUUCUGUCUGAGUGUCCAGAGCGGAUCGAGAACAUCAGUCAGUUUGUUAAAGGGAUAUUCCGGCGUAAAAUUCAUUCAACCAACCAAAAGGCGACAGGGUCAAUAAGCAGCAACUGUUCUGUAAGAGCAAAGUCCAGUUUUAAGGUGAGAAAAUCACUUUUUUGGGUUAAUGAAAUAGUUCUUUAUCCGCCUCAGCCACCAUCUUGCACAGGAGUCCAACUCACCUACUCUCUUCCAGCAGACGCUUGUUUGUAGAGAGACCUCAGGCCAGUCCAUUACGGACUACAGCGGGGUGCCGCAGCUCAAGGAAGAACAUUUAUGAUCAUUUCUUCAUGGAAAUACAAUCAGACCGAGACGCUAAGACAGAAGAACUACCGCGUCUGUAAAAUGAUUAAUAUGGUGAUUAUUACUUCAAGGAAAUGAUAAAGAAAUGAUCAUAAAUGUUCUUCCUUGAGCUGCGUCACCCCACAGUAGUCCUUAAUGGACUGGAAGAGAGUAGGUGAGUUGUGUUUAGUCUCUUUGCUAAAGAAAUGAGUCAAAGUUAAAAAGAUGUUUGGUGUCUAGUACUAUGGCUGUGACCCUAUAUGUACUAACCUCAGUAGAACAUGGUGUAGUUCCGUUCAGUAACAGAACCUCAUUGGAAAAUUAUCUGAUUUAACUUCACUGUGCUCUUGUUCAAAUAUAUUAACUCGACAGCACAUAAAUCCAUACCUGUUAACAAAAUCAUGAUUUUAUUGAUAAUUCGGCUCAAUAAAAACACCUUUAACUUUUCAUUUUACUACAGUAGGGGGGGUCUAACUCGGUGUAAAUUUUACGCCAGAAUAUCUCUUUAACAUGCUCAGUAAUCAUGCACAGACAAAAUGAAAUCUACUGAAGUGAGAAUCUAGUGUAAACAUAAUCCAACAACCAAGAGCUUUAGCCUCUUCUAGCUUCAAAAAGAGACGAUGAACAAACUCCUCAUGAUCUGUUUUUCUUUCUGGCCUGUUUUUAAAUCUUUAGUCGUCUGACCCUGUGAACUGAGCGUGUGCAGGAGGCCCGAUCAAAGCUGAAGACGGUCGUGGUCAUGUGGUAAAUCUCUGAGGCGUGAGGAUCCAGCAGCAGAGAUGUCAGUGAUGGAGGACGAGGCGCCUCCGCUGAGCAGGAACAGUCGAUCCAAACUCCAGGUCCAGACUGGAAUCAAGGAGCGAUGAAACCAUCCAUCAAGAUCAGCCGCAGUCACCAAACCAGAACCUUUUCCUGAAUCAUCACUCAGAACCGGGCUGGUUUUGGCGUGUCUGUGUACUUCAUCACGGCGUGUUUGACUAAUUUCUGUUUCCCUGAUUUGUCAGCGUCAGUCAGAGCAGGUAAGACCAGAUCAGGAUCUACGCGGAUCUGACCUUCAGGUGGACUCGACAUGAUCCUCCGGGAGCGGGGCGCGACUUUGACCUCAGAUAAGAGCGACAGGUAAACACACACACACACACACACACACACACACACACACACACACACACACACACACACACACACACACACACACGGUGCCCUUUCACCUUGAUUGUAGCGUGCUGAGUAAUGAGGGGUCAUUUGCUUCAGUUAAAUAUGUUUAGGUUUUGUGUGUGUUUGUGUGUGUGUGUGUGUGUGUAGGGGGGGUUAUGACCAGAGGCAGAACCACAUGCUGACACACAAAGGGGUAUGUAUAUACACACACACACACACACACACGUUCAUAUAAAUAGUCGUUUUCGCUUUAAUCCACAAACACGAACAGAGACGCACGCACGCGUUCAAAUCUGCAGAUACUCCUCGCGGACGCCAUCACACUCGCCCCCCCCGCCUGCACACACACACACUACGCACUUGUCUUGUGUAAGUGAGAUGUCUUCUGUUUCAACAAUGUGUGCAGUGUGUGCCGACCGCCUUUUCUUCCCUUGGCAGAGUUACCCAAUCCCCCUGACACGCAUUCUGCAUGGAUGACGGCGAGCUCUUCUCAUGACGCCGCCGGAGCCACCCGUUUAGUUCCGCCUCAGCUCUGUACACGCACAGUUCAUGGGGUCAGAGGGCCCAGGGGGUCUGCUCGCCCGGGUGGGACUGACAGUGAGCGUGGAGGGUUAUGAAAAAGCGUCGAGCGUGGAGUUUGUGAUGGAAAUCUUUGAAGCGCGUCUUUCUUUCAGAGAUAUGAGGUCUGACCUUACCACCUACAGGACGGGGUCCCGCUACAGUCUGCUACAGUCCCGCUACAGUCCCAGUACAGUGUGAAAUUUGACUGACCCUGGACCUCGUCUCUGAAAAGCAGGGAUUCAAACCCACAACCCCUGCGCUGACC